AGGUGAUCCAACCGCAGGUUCCCCUACGGUUACCUUGUUACGACUUCACCCCAGUCAUGAAUCACAAAGUGGUAAGCGCCCUCCCGAAGGUUAAGCUACCUACUUCUUUUGCAACCCACUCCCAUGGUGUGACGGGCGGUGUGUACAAGGCCCGGGAACGUAUUCACCGUGGCAUUCUGAUCCACGAUUACUAGCGAUUCCGACUUCAUGGAGUCGAGUUGCAGACUCCAAUCCGGACUACGACGCACUUUAUGAGGUCCGCUUGCUCUCGCGAGGUCGCUUCUCUUUGUAUGCGCCAUUGUAGCACGUGUGUAGCCCUGGUCGUAAGGGCCAUGAUGACUUGACGUCAUCCCCACCUUCCUCCAGUUUAUCACUGGCAGUCUCCUUUGAGUUCCCGGCCGGACCGCUGGCAACAAAGGAUAAGGGUUGCGCUCGUUGCGGGACUUAACCCAACAUUUCACAACACGAGCUGACGACAGCCAUGCAGCACCUGUCUCACGGUUCCCGAAGGCACAUUCUCAUCUCUGAAAACUUCCGUGGAUGUCAAGACCAGGUAAGGUUCUUCGCGUUGCAUCGAAUUAAACCACAUGCUCCACCGCUUGUGCGGGCCCCCGUCAAUUCAUUUGAGUUUUAACCUUGCGGCCGUACUCCCCAGGCGGUCGACUUAACGCGUUAGCUCCGGAAGCCACGCCUCAAGGGCACAACCUCCAAGUCGACAUCGUUUACGGCGUGGACUACCAGGGUAUCUAAUCCUGUUUGCUCCCCACGCUUUCGCACCUGAGCGUCAGUCUUCGUCCAGGGGGCCGCCUUCGCCACCGGUAUUCCUCCAGAUCUCUACGCAUUUCACCGCUACACCUGGAAUUCUACCCCCCUCUACGAGACUCAAGCUUGCCAGUAUCAGAUGCAGUUCCCAGGUUGAGCCCGGGGAUUUCACAUCUGACUUAACAAACCGCCUGCGUGCGCUUUACGCCCAGUAAUUCCGAUUAACGCUUGCACCCUCCGUAUUACCGCGGCUGCUGGCACGGAGUUAGCCGGUGCUUCUUCUGCGGGUAACGUCAAUGAGCAAAGGUAUUAACUUUACUCCCUUCCUCCCCGCUGAAAGUACUUUACAACCCGAAGGCCUUCUUCAUACACGCGGCAUGGCUGCAUCAGGCUUGCGCCCAUUGUGCAAUAUUCCCCACUGCUGCCUCCCGUAGGAGUCUGGACCGUGUCUCAGUUCCAGUGUGGCUGGUCAUCCUCUCAGACCAGCUAGGGAUCGUCGCCUAGGUGAGCCGUUACCUCACCUACUAGCUAAUCCCAUCUGGGCACAUCCGAUGGCAAGAGGCCCGAAGGUCCCCCUCUUUGGUCUUGCGACGUUAUGCGGUAUUAGCUACCGUUUCCAGUAGUUAUCCCCCUCCAUCAGGCAGUUUCCCAGACAUUACUCACCCGUCCGCCACUCGUCAGCAAAGAAGCAAGCUUCUUCCUGUUACCGUUCGACUUGCAUGUGUUAGGCCUGCCGCCAGCGUUCAAUCUGAGCCAUGAUCAAACUCU
Molecule: ribosomal RNA, 1530 nt
Filed under: Shigella boydii 5216-82
Lineage: Bacteria; Pseudomonadati; Pseudomonadota; Gammaproteobacteria; Enterobacterales; Enterobacteriaceae
Description: 16S ribosomal RNA
Source: RNAcentral